GCUCAGAUUGAACGCGGGCGGCAGGCUUAACACAUGCAAGUCGAGCGGUAGCAGGGAGAAAGCUUGCUUUCUCCGCUGACGAGCGGCGGACGGGUGAGUAAUGUCUGGGGAUCUGCCUGAUGGAGGGGGAUAACUACUGGAAACGGUAGCUAAUACCGCAUAACGUCGCAAGACCAAAGUGGGGGACCUUCGGGCCUCAUGCCAUCAGAUGAACCCAGAUGGGAUUAGCUAGUAGGUGAGGUAAUGGCUCACCUAGGCGACGAUCCCUAGCUGGUCUGAGAGGAUGACCAGCCACACUGGAACUGAGACACGGUCCAGACUCCUACGGGAGGCAGCAGUGGGGAAUAUUGCACAAUGGGCGCAAGCCUGAUGCAGCCAUGCCGCGUGUAUGAAGAAGGCCUUCGGGUUGUAAAGUACUUUCAGUAGGGAGGAAGGUGUGCGUGUUAAUAGCACGUGCAAUUGACGUUACCUACAGAAGAAGCACCGGCUAACUCCGUGCCAGCAGCCGCGGUAAUACGGAGGGUGCAAGCGUUAAUCGGAAUUACUGGGCGUAAAGCGCACGCAGGCGGUUUGUUAAGUUGGAUGUGAAAUCCCCGGGCUUAACCUGGGAACUGCAUCCAAGACUGGCAAGCUAGAGUCUCGUAGAGGGAGGUAGAAUUCCAGGUGUAGCGGUGAAAUGCGUAGAGAUCUGGGGGAAUACCGGUGGCGAAGGCGGCCUCCUGGACGAAGACUGACGCUCAGGUGCGAAAGCGUGGGGAGCAAACAGGAAGAGAUACCCUGGUAGUCCACGCUGUAAACGAUGUCUAAGGAGAGGUUGUGCCCUUGAGGCGUGGCUUCCGAAGCUAACGCGUGAAAUCGACCGCGCUGG
This 868-nucleotide ribosomal RNA is filed under the name Edwardsiella tarda. Its description in RNAcentral is "bacterial SSU rRNA". It matches the Rfam family "Bacterial small subunit ribosomal RNA", at positions 22 to 876 of the family's 1533-position model. The record is from RNAcentral. Lineage: Bacteria; Pseudomonadati; Pseudomonadota; Gammaproteobacteria; Enterobacterales; Hafniaceae.